This 71-nucleotide transfer RNA is filed under the name Loxodonta africana (African savanna elephant). It matches the Rfam family "tRNA". From Rfam's summary of the family: Transfer RNA (tRNA) molecules are approximately 80 nucleotides in length. Their secondary structure includes four short double-helical elements and three loops (D, anti-codon, and T loops). The record is from Rfam by way of RNAcentral. Lineage: Eukaryota; Metazoa; Chordata; Mammalia; Proboscidea; Elephantidae.
GCAGUAGUGGUUCAGUGGUAGAAUUCUUGCCUACCAUGCAGGAGACCAGGGUUCGAUUCCUGGCCAAUGCA